RNAcentral lists this ribosomal RNA (372 nucleotides) under uncultured soil bacterium. RNAcentral describes it as "bacterial SSU rRNA". It matches the Rfam family "Bacterial small subunit ribosomal RNA", at positions 26 to 386 of the family's 1533-position model. The record is from RNAcentral.
AGAUUGAACGCUGGCGGCAGGCCUAACACAUGCAAGUCGAGCGGCAGCACGGGUACUUGUACCUGGUGGCGAGCGGCGGACGGGUGAGUAAUGCCUAGGAAUCUGCCUGGUAGUGGGGGGAUAACGCUCGGAAACGGACGCUAAUACCGCAUACGUCCUACGGGAGAAAGCAGGGGACCUUCGGGCCUUGCGCUAUCAGAUGAGCCUAGGUCGGAUUAGGCUAGUUGGUGAGGUAAUGGCUCACCAAGGUUGACGAUCCGUAACUGGUCUGACGAGGGAUCGAUCAGUCACACGUGGAACUGAGACACGGUCCAGACUCCGUACGGGAGCAGCAGUGGGGAAUUAGUUGGACAAGUGGGACGAAAGCCGUGA